This is a long non-coding RNA of Triplophysa rosa, 482 nucleotides long. RefSeq lists it as uncharacterized. NCBI's taxonomy places the organism in Eukaryota, Metazoa, Chordata, Actinopteri, Cypriniformes, Nemacheilidae. The transcript is spliced from 3 exons. The record is from RefSeq and is a predicted model, not a curated record.
UUAAUUCAUUAUCGACAGUCGGCGUUCAACAGAGGAGCCAAAGGAUUACGCGAGUUGCAUCUAUUUGGUGUGACCGGCUGCUUGUUUUCAUUCCGGAGAUUCUUUCUCCCUCAGACUUGGACCUUUUUUAACCAUUGCAAAACCAGACCGAAGCUCUAUUGUCCGAAUGGUCGUUUCAACUGUUGGCUGGGCUGAUGGCGGAUAAAGGAUUCCUCCGAUAGCUGAUUGCGGCAAACGAAGAUGGGGUUACCACAGCGAGCAGGAUGCCUAGACCUGAUGGUAGAGCGGAGAAUGGGAAGCGGCGACCUGACAGGAGCUGAGAUGAUAGAGCUGGAUAAAGAAGGACGCGGCAACUUCACAUGUCUUCACUACAAAAUUUAAAAUGCUAUUAGAUUAUUAAUGAUAAUCUUGAAUCUAUAAUUUACCUUAUUAGUAAGUUUAUUUAUUUUUUAUUUAGCCUUGUUGUGCAAGCACUGUCGAGC